ACUUUAAUUUUCCAUAAAAGACAGAGAUGAGAAUGAAAUCUUGCUCCAAAUAAUAUGGAUAAAAAAAUUUAUCAAGAACAUCAAAAAUAGAGAUACUUCUUCUCACCAAAUCAAGAUUUUUGUAGAAAAAAGAUAGAUCAAUGAUGCAGAUUUGGACCCUCGAAUUCAUCUUGAAGGAGCUUCCUUGGUGCACAGUCCACAA
This 202-nucleotide long non-coding RNA is filed under the name Elaeis guineensis (African oil palm). RNAcentral's name for it is "long non-coding RNA (EGUI_LNC032150)". The record is from RNAcentral. Lineage: Eukaryota; Viridiplantae; Streptophyta; Magnoliopsida; Arecales; Arecaceae.